GGAGAGAUGUCCGAGCGGCCGAAGGAGCACGAUUGGAAGUCGUGUGUGCCCUAAAAGGUACCGUGGGUUCAAAUCCCACUCUCUCCG
RNAcentral lists this transfer RNA (87 nucleotides) under Treponema sp. RNAcentral's name for it is "tRNA-Ser". It matches the Rfam family "tRNA". From Rfam's summary of the family: Transfer RNA (tRNA) molecules are approximately 80 nucleotides in length. Their secondary structure includes four short double-helical elements and three loops (D, anti-codon, and T loops). Lineage: Bacteria; Pseudomonadati; Spirochaetota; Spirochaetia; Treponematales; Treponemataceae. The record is from RNAcentral.